RNAcentral lists this ribosomal RNA (1369 nucleotides) under uncultured bacterium. Its description in RNAcentral is "bacterial SSU rRNA". It matches the Rfam family "Bacterial small subunit ribosomal RNA", at positions 28 to 1381 of the family's 1533-position model. The record is from RNAcentral.
GACGAACGCUUGCGGCGUGCCUAAUACAUGCAAGUAGAACGCUGAAGAGAGGAGCUUGCUCUUCUUGGAUGAGUUGCGAACGGGUGAGUAACGCGUAGGUAACCUGCCUUGUAGCGGGGGAUAACUAUUGGAAACGAUAGCUAAUACCGCAUAACAAUGGAUGACACAUGUCAUUUAUUUGAAAGGGGCAAUUGUUCCACUACAAGAUGGACCUGCGUUGUAUUAGCUAGUAGGUGAGGUAAUGGCUCACCUAGGCGACGAUACAUAGCCGACCUGAGAGGGUGAUCGGCCACACUGGGACUGAGACACGGCCCAGACUCCUACGGGAGGCAGCAGUAGGGAAUCUUCGGCAAUGGGGGCAACCCUGACCGAGCAACGCCGCGUGAGUGAAGAAGGUUUUCGGAUCGUAAAGCUCUGUUGUAAGUCAAGAACGGGUGUGAGAGUGGAAAGUUCACACUGUGACGGUAGCUUACCAGAAAGGGACGGCUAACUACGUGCCAGCAGCCGCGGUAAUACGUAGGUCCCGAGCGUUGUCCGGAUUUAUUGGGCGUAAAGCGAGCGCAGGCGGUUUGAUAAGUCUGAAGUUAAAGGCUGUGGCUCAACCAUAGUUCGCUUUGGAAACUGUCAAACUUGAGUGCAGAAGGGGAGAGUGGAAUUCCAUGUGUAGCGGUGAAAUGCGUAGAUAUAUGGAGGAACACCGGUGGCGAAAGCGGCUCUCUGGUCUGUAACUGACGCUGAGGCUCGAAAGCGUGGGGAGCGAACAGGAUUAGAUACCCUGGUAGUCCACGCCGUAAACGAUGAGUGCUAGGUGUUGGAUCCUUUCCGGGAUUCAGUGCCGCAGCUAACGCAUUAAGCACUCCGCCUGGGGAGUACGACCGCAAGGUUGAAACUCAAAGGAAUUGACGGGGGCCCGCACAAGCGGUGGAGCAUGUGGUUUAAUUCGAAGCAACGCGAAGAACCUUACCAGGUCUUGACAUCCCGAUGCUAUUUCUAGAGAUAGAAAGUUACUUCGGUACAUCGGUGACAGGUGGUGCAUGGUUGUCGUCAGCUCGUGUCGUGAGAUGUUGGGUUAAGUCCCGCAACGAGCGCAACCCCUAUUGUUAGUUGCCAUCAUUCAGUUGGGCACUCUAGCGAGACUGCCGGUAAUAAACCGGAGGAAGGUGGGGAUGACGUCAAAUCAUCAUGCCCCUUAUGACCUGGGCUACACACGUGCUACAAUGGUUGGUACAACGAGUUGCGAGUCGGUGACGGCGAGCUAAUCUCUUAAAGCCAAUCUCAGUUCGGAUUGUAGGCUGCAACUCGCCUACAUGAAGUCGGAAUCGCUAGUAAUCGCGGAUCAGCACGCCGCGGUGAAUACGUUCCCGGGCCU